GGUACUAUAAGAACAUGUCAGAAAUUUCUAAUUCAGUAUAACAGAAGACAGCUGCUGAUGUUGUUGCAAAACUGUACAAAUGAAGAGGAAAGACGGUGUGUACAGAAGUCCUUGUUGAGCUGUUCCCUUACAGAAGAGCAGUCUCAAAGUGGAGAUGAGGAAGAUGAUGAUGGCACAGAGACAGACUGAACAUUACUAGUUACUGUUCACCUCUGUCCUGUACUUGUGUAAUCAAGAUGUUACUACCAGUUGUCCUCAGUGUUAAGCAAUGCAGGGGACAGAAAAAGCAUCUGGUCAUAUUUAGACUUCAUUCCCCCAUUCCGAGUGUUCUUAAAUAAAUUUAAAAAAAAACAAAAAUGGUUUUACUUAA
This is a long non-coding RNA of Fulmarus glacialis (Northern fulmar), 370 nucleotides long. RefSeq lists it as uncharacterized. The transcript has 2 exons. NCBI's taxonomy places the organism in Eukaryota, Metazoa, Chordata, Aves, Procellariiformes, Procellariidae. The record is from RefSeq and is a predicted model, not a curated record.